Papaver somniferum (opium poppy) is the source of this 3989-nucleotide long non-coding RNA. RefSeq lists it as uncharacterized. The transcript has 15 exons. NCBI's taxonomy places the organism in Eukaryota, Viridiplantae, Streptophyta, Magnoliopsida, Ranunculales, Papaveraceae. The record is from RefSeq and is a predicted model, not a curated record.
GCUAUGGUGGUAAUUUUAUAGGGCGAGUUGGACUUUGUCAAAGUCUCUGACUAAAUUGGUGGGUCCAAGUGUUAUAUUUAACAGAAAGGCCAGUUUAUAAAAGAUUUAAUUUGUGUGGCAGGUUUAUUAAAUAUACGGCAGGAAGUUGGUCAGUUUAUUAAUUUGUCCUUUGUUUAUUAAUUUUUUUAUUUUUACAGUUACCGGUUAUUAUUUAACCGUGCAUUACGUGGAUUUUGGGAUAGCAGUGCAGACACCGUAUAAGUAUCGGGAGCAUAGGCAUAACAGAUUUGUUUCGGUUUGUGGACAUCCAUUUUGUGAUGUCCCGACUUUGAAUAUUUGUAUCUGAUUAUACAAGGAUUAUACGAUGAUUAUUAAAAUAUUAUAUAGCGACUAGUGAAAUAUUUGUUCCUAAUCCUCCCUCGAUGUCUAGAUGGGUUUUUUUUAAUGAGAUCUCAUCUUCCUCUUCAAUCUUUAUCACUGAUUUUUCUUCUUCUUCCCAUUCCUGUCCUUCUUCUCAUUCUUAUUUCUCUUCUUGGUUUCCUUCCAUCUUCUAUUCCGUUACAAUCAUCAUUCAAUCUCUUCAAGAGAGGCAACUAGGGAGAUUUAUUUUCAGGAGUGAAACAAGAGCAGGUCUUGCAUUUUCUCUCUUGUGUUAGCGAGGAAAGAAGCAUUGCAAUCAUCGUUGAUCCAGAUGAUCUUUGAAGGAAAAUCAAAACCUGGGUUUCGGAUUUUGAUGUUCAAAUGUGGUUCCUUUUUGAGUAAUUGGUAGGAGGAUUGAUGAUUUUUGUGUAUGUGAUUGUUAGAAGAAUUGGGGCUUUUGAUUUAAGAAACUAUUAUCUAGUGAAUUGAGAUAGGCUGAAAGAAUGUACUCUUUGGGAGCAGAUACUGUGUCGGAAUCAUCGAAUGGAGCUGCUAGGGUGUUAAUUCAAUUCCAGCAUGUUUCGUUUGGAUUGGUGGAUCUUUUACAAGGUUCAUAAUGAUGAUGAAGUGAAAGCUUUGUUCAAGCAAGUGCAGGGAGAAGUUCCUGGAUCUCCGAUUCUUAUAGCGAAGGUUGCAUCACAGCUUUGCACAGCCGUGAUUGUGGUGUUCAGAGAAGGCAUCGAAAGGUAGAUCGUUUAGUGUUUUUCUUUGGUGGGGUUUCUCUGAUUAUCAAGAUUAUUGAGGAAGGUCCAAUUAUAGUAGCGCCAAUGGAGACAGUAAAGAAGCUCGGGCAGGCAGCUCGAAGGCUUGCUAAAUGUGUGAACUAUGUUGGAGCUGCUACUGUUGAGUAUCUGUAUAGUAUGGACUCCGGGAAGUACUAUUUCUUAGAGCUCAACCCGCGGUUACAGGUUGAGCAUCCUGUUACUGAGUGGAUAGCAGAGGUUAAUCUUCCAGCGGCUCAAGUUGCAGUGGGGAUGGGAAUUCCUCUCUGUCAAAUUUCUGAAAUAAGGAGAUUUUAUGGAGGACUAUAAUGGUGGAUAUGAUGCUUGGAGGAGAACAUCGAUCGUUGCCACUCCUUUGAUUUUGACAAAGCUGAGUCUGUAAGGCCAAAAGGACAUUGUGUUUCUGUAAGUGUAACAAGUGAAGACCCAGAUGACGGUUUUAAGCCUACUGGUGGGAAAGUACAGGAACUGAGUUUUAAACGCAAGCCAAGUUCAUGGGCGUACUUCUCUGUAAAGUCUGGAGGAGGUAUUCAUGAGUUCUCGGAUUUUCAAUUUGGUUCAUUAAUCGAGAUGGUAUUGACUUUACAGAUGCCCAAGCAUGCAACCUGUUCAGGCGUGGGAGCUCAAAAUUUGCAAGGCAUAUUAGAGUACCAAAGCCUACAUCCUGCACAUAUUUUCGCAGAAUUGUGAAAGGGGACCCCCCCAGUAGCUCUGCAGCUCGUAGGAUCGUGAAGGGGAAUCACCCCGUAGCCCUGCAGCCGGGACAUGGAGUACGUGGCCCCAUCACCUACAUGGCCGCGAAUGCGUAAUCCCAUGGAAGUGAUGAGAUAUUAUUCCCUCUGUGCCGAAAACAAACAAGAAACUAAUAAGACACCGUACGUGUUAAGGAUUACUCUUACCUUCGGGUGAGUUGCGUCUCGGCCAGCAGACAGCCGGUGUAAAAACUUUGUCGCACCCUUGGGGAUACGGCCUCUACGAGACACUAUCCCUGCUCGACCUGGUACUUGCUACUGGGAAAGAGCUUUGGUUUUGGUUUUGGAUUAGAGUACCAAAGCAGAGCAUGGUGGCAGAGUGUCAGCUAAUCUCAGUUGUUACAUCUCCUAAGCUGUUUGCCUAUUAAAUAUUAUCAUCAUCUUGUCAAAUUUAAUUAAAUUUUCAGAUUGGGUAUGGACAACUUCCCUUGUCGUUUCCGUUUUUGCCAAUCAAUCAGAGCCAUAAUUAUCUCGAUCUGUUGUAUUUGUAUAUAUACAGUUGGGCAAUGGUGGAGAGCGCCAAAUACUGCUCACAGCUACUAUUUGUUGUCUGUAUCAAGAUUUUAUUCUGGUUUACACAUUUGUUCUUUCUUUGCCUUCUCGUGAAUUUGUAGUGAUUAGUUCCAUGAUGUUAUUCUUUGCCUUUUUGUGAAUUUGUAGUGAUCAGUUCCAUGAUGUUUCUGGAUGUAGAGAUACUUCUAAAGGAUACGCAUCAUACAGGAAUAUCUUGAUUCAAGUUCAUAACUGGAUAGUAUUUCACCAAAACAAGCUCUACUGAAUGUAUAUCACUAAAAUACCAGGUAUGAAAAACAGCAGCGGUGCGAUGAGGCUCUCAAGGCAUAUACUGGAAAAGCAUCUUAGGCAGCAAGCCCCAUGUACAACAGCAGCGGUGGGAUGAGCUUUUUUGUAUAACAGCUCAAAGUAAUUUAUAAAAAUGUUACAGGCUAUGAAUAUGACCGGUUUUGGCUCAUUAACAGUGUUGGGUUUUGGUUGAGAUGACUUGAAAAUUAAGAUGAUUUUGAUUUGAUAGUGCAGAAGUGGGAAACUAAUAGUUUCUUCUCGCUCUCUUUUCUUGAUUAAUUUCUCUGAAUAAUCAUCUCUCUCUAUUACAAGGUCAAUAUAAGCCCUUACGGAUAAGACGAUACGUGGACUAGGUAUAUACAAGUGGACUAGACGAACCGAGCUCUUAGAUAACUUAAAAACAACCUAGAGACGUGGUGGGUCCAAACCGGGCCCCUGCAAGUUCACGGAGGUGGGGUCCAAUGGAAUGUGUAUGUUGUUUUAAUAUUGUUCAAAUGCUCGGUUCAUUUAGAACCAUUGGAAAAAAAAACGAAGAUGAUAAAAAGCCCAUUCACAGAUCCAGAUGCUGAGAACUUUGAUCUCUUCCGCUCAUUUCUAUAUCGGGAUGUUUUGCGGGAUAAACAAGUGGUAAAUCUAGGGCUGCACAGCGGGUAGGGUGUAGAGCUGGCAAUCCGAGCCAAAAUCCGCGGGUUGGCCCGUCCCGUCCCGCGAAAACCCGUACCCGUCCCGGAUGGUAAGUAAACAAGACGGGCGCGGGUUGUACAAUUAGUGGCUUGUGAAGAAAAGGGUUAACCCGGCCCGUACCGUGAAACCCGCGGUCUGACCCGUAACCCGUAGAUUUAUACCCUGCUGAAACUGAAACACGUAUCUAGUUAUGUGUCACCCAAAUCUCCAUCGUAUAAAACGGGGAAACCCUAAGUUUUCCUAUCAUUCUUCUUCGACUUCGGUUGUUCUUCCUCUUUUUUUCUUCUUCCCCGACUCAGAGAGAGUCUCCUGAGUCUUGAGGCUGCAUCUCAUAUCUUUCCAUCAUCGACAAAUAUCUUAAAUCUCCUGACGCAGACGCACAGAACAACGGAACAACAAAUUGAAGAACUAUUAGAUCUAGAUCAAAGGAAUUUAAUUUGAUCUAAAGAUUCAAGGCUAGCAGGAUGUCAAGUGUACAAGAGCAAGAGUUACCAGAACCAGACCAUUUCAAGGAUGUUAUGAGUGCUGAUGAUGAAGAUGAUGAUGUUGAGAUGUUAUGAAUGUAUGAUACUAUGAUAGUAUCUGUGUGACUGUGUCUGUGUUUCUUUAA